This 937-nucleotide long non-coding RNA is filed under the name Felis catus (domestic cat). Its description in RNAcentral is "lncRNA (ENSFCAG00000050275.1)". Lineage: Eukaryota; Metazoa; Chordata; Mammalia; Carnivora; Felidae. The record is from RNAcentral.
AAGGGAGGCUAGCGGCCCGCACUGAGGCCACCGCCUGCAGCCCCGCCUGCUCUCAGCCGCAGCAACCACGGCAAAUCAAUAGCUGGUGAGGCAGCCGGAAGGGGGAUUUCUGUCCUCUGAUUGGGAGGUGAACGCAGGGGCUGGGUGUGCUGGGUGCCCAGCAGGGCCUCGGGCCGGCAGGCAGGGCCCCGGCCUCGCCUGGCGGCGUUCCGUGGGUCUCUUACUUCGCUGUCUCUGUGCUUCUGUGUCUCUUCUGGCUCUCUCUGUCUCUCUCUCAGAACCUGAACUAGGCCCUGAGAUCUCCCUGAGAAAGUGCCCCCGGGAGCCGCAUGCCCAGGCCUCCCAGGUGAGCCCAUCCCAGGAAGGGGCCGAGCCAGCCAACCCCCUCCCCACGCCACGGUCUGUGGGACCCCACCUCGGCCCUGGCUGGGUCUCCUUUGUCUGCAGCGUUCAUUCAAGUCUGAACAAGCUCCCAAUAUCUUAAAGCCACGAGGCUUCUGCGGAAAACCCAAUUCUGGCCAAUUCUGUGAGGUGGGGCCUAUGCUGCAGACCAGCCGCCCCACCCGCUCCCCUCCCCUCCCAGUAGGACCCCGGCUCAGUUCUCAACCCCGUGGAGCCUCAGGGCUCUCAUCUGCAAAGGGUGAGGGAGCCCCAGGAAAUGAUUCCAGUUCCCCGAGAUGAGCAGGGCUCCCUUCGCAGGCAAGGUGUGAGAAGCAGGGUCGGGAUUCCAGUGGGACCAACAGUGGAACCAGGGAGAAGACAGCGGCUGCAGAGCCUCCAGGAGGAACUGCGAUGGUCAACUGGAAGACAGACAGACAUAUGGACAGGCACAGAGAUGACGAAGAGGCAGCCCAAAGGACGGACAGGUGAGGGGAGAGGGAGUGGAUGAGAGGAAUUGUGUGAAGGGGCUCUGCACAGAGUAAGCAAUGAGGUGUGA